UGCUCGUGCUAAUGAGAGAAACAGGCGAAAUGACCGACCUCGUAAUUUUGAUAGAUCCAGAAACUUUGAGAGAAGAAGAGACAUGCAGACUAACCAAAACAGUCAGAACCCUGGAUCCAACAUGCCACCGGGGGGGCCUCCCAACAUGAGGAAUCCACCGCCUCCCAACAUGGGCGGGAUGCAGCAACCUAACAUGGGAGGUCCGCCCAACAUGGGCGGGAUGCACCAGCAGGGCGGGCCUCCCAACAUGAGGAAUCCACCCCCUCCCAACAUGGUCGGGAUGCAGCAACCUAACAUGGGAGGUCCUCCUAACAUGGGCGGGAUGCACCAGCAACCUAACAUGGGAGGUCCGCCUAACAUGGGCGGGAUGCACCAGCAGGGCAUGGGAGGUCCACCCAACAUGGGCGGGAUGCACCAGCAGGGCAUGGGAGGGCCACCCAACCCAGGCGGGAUGCACCAGCCGGGCAUGGGAGGGCCACCCAACCCAGGCGGGAUGCACCAGCCGGGCAUGGGAAGGCCACCUCAUGUGGGUGGGAUGCAGCAGCCAAACAUGCCUCCCAACACAGGAGGUGUACCACCACCGAACAUGGGUGGAGGGCCUCCCCAUAACUAUGGAGGAGUGCCAAACAAUGCACCCAAUUUCCAAUACAACAGCGGAUCAAACAGUGGAGGCACGCCUUACCCAACAGGUCCCAGGCCA
Molecule: long non-coding RNA, 700 nt
Filed under: Nicotiana benthamiana
Lineage: Eukaryota; Viridiplantae; Streptophyta; Magnoliopsida; Solanales; Solanaceae
Description: long non-coding RNA (NBEN_LNC027815)
Source: RNAcentral